GGGUGCGAUCAUACUAGCGUUAAUGCACCGGAUCCCAUCAGAACUCCGCAGUUAAGUUUGCUUGGGCUAGAGUAGUACUGUGAUGGGUGACCUCUUGGGAAGUCCUAGUGUUACACCCU
Non-coding RNA from Picea glauca (white spruce), 119 nucleotides. The record is from Rfam. NCBI's taxonomy places the organism in Eukaryota, Viridiplantae, Streptophyta, Pinopsida, Pinales, Pinaceae.